RNAcentral lists this ribosomal RNA (446 nucleotides) under uncultured bacterium. RNAcentral describes it as "partial 16S ribosomal RNA". It matches the Rfam family "Bacterial small subunit ribosomal RNA", at positions 338 to 795 of the family's 1533-position model. The record is from RNAcentral.
CCUACGGGUGGCUGCAGUGGGGAAUAUUGCACAAUGGGCGCAAGCCUGAUGCAGCAACGCCGCGUGCGGGAUGACGGCCUUCGGGUUGUAAACCGCUUUCAGCAGGGACGAAGCGCAAGUGACGGUACCUGCAGAAGAAGCACCGGCUAACUACGUGCCAGCAGCCGCGGUGAUACGUAGGGUGCGAGCGUUGUCCGGAUUUAUUGGGCGUAAAGAGGUUGUAGGCGGUUAGUCGCCGUCUUAAGGGACAGCUCAGGGCUUAACCCUGAGCCUGCUUGCGAUACGGGCUGACUAGAGGAAGGUAGGGGAGAAUGGAAUUCCCGGUGGAGCGGUGGAAUGCGCAGAUAUCGGGAGGAACACCAGUGGCGAAGGCGGUUCUCUGGACCUUUCCUGACGCUGAGAAGCGAAAGCGUGGGGAGCAAACAGGAUUAGAUACCCCAGUAGUC